Molecule: non-coding RNA, 109 nt
Organism: Acanthosepion pharaonis
Lineage: Eukaryota; Metazoa; Mollusca; Cephalopoda; Sepiida; Sepiidae
Source: the annotation of a GenBank genome assembly
GGCCACAUCACAGUGAAAUACUGGUUACUGUACAAUCCCCAAAGUUAAGCAACAUUGUGCCUGGUUAGUACCUAGAUGGGUGACCACUUGAGAAUACCAGGUGUUGUAG